Molecule: transfer RNA, 81 nt
Filed under: Blastochloris sp.
Lineage: Bacteria; Pseudomonadati; Pseudomonadota; Alphaproteobacteria; Hyphomicrobiales; Blastochloridaceae
Description: tRNA-Leu
Rfam family: tRNA
About the family: Transfer RNA (tRNA) molecules are approximately 80 nucleotides in length. Their secondary structure includes four short double-helical elements and three loops (D, anti-codon, and T loops). Further hydrogen bonds mediate the characteristic L-shaped molecular structure. tRNAs have two regions of fundamental functional importance: the anti-codon, which is responsible for specific mRNA codon recognition, and the 3' end, to which the tRNAs corresponding amino acid is attached (by aminoacyl-tRNA synthetases). tRNAs cope with the degeneracy of the genetic code in two manners: having more than one tRNA (with a specific anti-codon) for a particular amino acid; and 'wobble' base-pairing, i.e. permitting non-standard base-pairing at the 3rd anti-codon position.
Source: RNAcentral
GCCGGUGUGGCGGAAUGGCAGACGCGCUCGACUCAAAAUCGAGUUCCUUCGGGAGUGUGGGUUCGACCCCCUCCACCGGUA